AGAGAUGUGUGAUGACGCAUAUCAAUAAGCGGAGGAAAAGAAACUAACAAGGAUUCCCUUAGUAACGGCGAGUGAAGCGGGAAGAGCUCGAAUUUGAAAUCUUCAAGGUUCUACCUUGACGAAUUGUAGUUUAUAGAAGUGUUUUCUGUUAGUGGAGUGGCAAAAGUUCUUUGGAAUAGGACAUCAUAGAGGGUGAGAAUCCCGUAUUUGGUCAUUCCUCCUAGCGUUGUGAUACACUUUCAACGAGUCGGAUUGUUUGGGAAUGCAGUCCAAAAUGGGUGGUAAAUUUCAUCUAAAGCUAAAUAUUGGCGAGAGACCGAUAGCGAACAAGUACCGUGAGGGAAAGAUGAAAAGAACUUUGAAAAGAGAGUUAAACAGUACGUGAAAUUGUCAAAAGGGAAGCGUUUGACACCAGUGUUGUUUUUCCGAAAAUCAAUUACGAAUGUUUUGUUUUUGAGGAGUUAUGACUUCAUCGGCUUGCUCCUUUCUUUACGAAGCUUUCUUAAUGCACUUUUCGGUUAACAAGUCAACAUCAAUUUCUUUUGUUGUAAAAGGGUAUGAGGAAGGUGGCUUUCUUUUCGGAGAAAGUGUUUAUAGCCUUGUGCCUCUGCAAUCGGAGAGAUUGAGGUCUGCAGCGUAGAUCCUUCGGGGUUAGAUACGUUGGUGCUAAGUUAUAGCUUUUCAUAGACAACUUGUUGACUAUGUUUAGUCUUGUAGCUUACUCGCUGACGCUAUUUUACCUACGCUUAGGAUGUUGAGUAGCGACAUACGCAC
RNAcentral lists this ribosomal RNA (774 nucleotides) under uncultured Neocallimastigales. RNAcentral describes it as "partial large subunit ribosomal RNA". It matches the Rfam family "Eukaryotic large subunit ribosomal RNA", at positions 23 to 649 of the family's 3401-position model. The record is from RNAcentral. Lineage: Eukaryota; Fungi; Neocallimastigomycota; Neocallimastigomycetes; Neocallimastigales.